AUAAGCAAGGGAGCAAAGACGUGAUAAAGCUUGGUUGUCGGAAGAUUAAUUCAUCAGCAGUGUGCAGGGGAACUUAAAGGAGAAAUAUUUUAAAAUUAAAGCUUUAAGUAUUACAGAGAAAUAAAAAGCAGGAGACUACAUAGGAAAAAAAAUCACAUUCCUUCUCCUCUACUAAAAUAGGGUAAUUUAUCAUCACUAUAUACAAACUGGUAGAGGAAUAAGCAAUGAAAACCACUCAAAUAUGCUAAAAAAGUCUAUUUCUUUGCAAACUUGAGGGAGUUCCUCAUCUGUUAUUGUACCUUGCCAUCAGGCUUGUACAGACCAUCAAACCUCUCUCAGAUUGGCUUAAAAAAAUCACAGAGAAACUAUAGUUUCAAAUCAUAUUGACCAGGAUUUAAAACCCAGAGAUUUUCCUUUCCUUAAUAUUAAGAAAUAACCAAAUAGUUA
Molecule: long non-coding RNA, 447 nt
Filed under: Bos taurus (domestic cattle)
Lineage: Eukaryota; Metazoa; Chordata; Mammalia; Artiodactyla; Bovidae
Description: long non-coding RNA NONBTAT009826
Source: RNAcentral